CCCCAAACACAUACUCCAGAGAGUUCCACUCCUUUACUUACAGUCACAAAGUCCAGCUUCCUUUGAGAGGCCUUCGGGAUCUCAAAAGGCUUCCACCUCAG
Long non-coding RNA from Gavialis gangeticus (Gharial), 101 nucleotides. RefSeq lists it as uncharacterized. Lineage: Eukaryota; Metazoa; Chordata; Crocodylia; Gavialidae. The record is from RefSeq and is a predicted model, not a curated record. The transcript has 3 exons.